Molecule: ribosomal RNA, 256 nt
Filed under: uncultured prokaryote
Description: partial 16S ribosomal RNA
Rfam family: Bacterial small subunit ribosomal RNA
Source: RNAcentral
UAAUACGUAGGGUGCGAGCGUUGUCCGGAAUUAUUGGGCGUAAAGAGCUCGUAGGCGGUGUGUCGCGUCGGUCGUGAAAACUUUCAGCUUAACUGGGAGCUUGCGGUCGAUACGGGCAUCACUGGAGUUCGGCAGGGGAGACUGGAAUUCCUGGUGUAGCGGUGAAAUGCGCAGAUAUCAGGAGGAACACCGGUGGCGAAGGCGGGUCUCUGGGCCGAUACUGACGCUGAGGAGCGAAAGCGUGGGGAGCGAACAG